Gracilinanus agilis (Agile Gracile Mouse Opossum) is the source of this 103-nucleotide small nuclear RNA. NCBI's taxonomy places the organism in Eukaryota, Metazoa, Chordata, Mammalia, Didelphimorphia, Didelphidae. The record is from RefSeq and is a predicted model, not a curated record.
UUGCUUUGUCAGCAUAUAUACUAAAAUGAAAAUAAUAUAGAAAAAAUUAGCAUGAACCCUGUGCCAGGAUGACAUUCAAAUUUAUGAAGCAUUGCAUAAAAAU